This 329-nucleotide unclassified non-coding RNA is filed under the name soil metagenome. Its description in RNAcentral is "partial contains 5.8S ribosomal RNA, internal transcribed spacer 2, and large subunit ribosomal RNA". The stretch from base 1 to 120 matches the Rfam family "5.8S ribosomal RNA", at positions 35 to 154 of the family's 154-position model. The record is from RNAcentral.
GAUGAAGAACGCAGCGAAAUGCGAUAAGUAAUGUGAAUUGCAGAAUUCAGUGAAUCAUCGAAUCUUUGAACGCACAUUGCGCCCUCUGGUAUUCCGGGGGGCAUGCCUGUUCGAGCGUCAUUAUAACCACUCAAGCUCUCGCUUGGUAUUGGGGUUCGCGGUUUCGCGGCCCCUAAAAUCAGUGGCGGUGCCUGUCGGCUCUACGCGUAGUAAUACUUUUCGCGAUUGAGUUCGAUAGGUCUACUUGCCAGUAACCCCCAAUUUUUACAGGUUGACCUCGGAUCAGGUAGGGAUACCCGCUGAACUUAAGCAUAUCAAUAAGCGGAGGA